Molecule: ribosomal RNA, 520 nt
Filed under: Streptomyces sp. SG 32
Lineage: Bacteria; Bacillati; Actinomycetota; Actinomycetes; Kitasatosporales; Streptomycetaceae
Description: bacterial SSU rRNA
Rfam family: Bacterial small subunit ribosomal RNA
Source: RNAcentral
UGCAGUCGACGAUGAGCCCUUCGGGGUGGAUUAGUGGCGAACGGGUGAGUAACACGUGGGCAAUCUGCCCUUCACUCUGGGACAAGCCCUGGAAACGGGGUCUAAUACCGGAUAUCACUCUCGCAGGCAUCUGUGAGGGUCGAAAGCUCCGGCGGUGAAGGAUGAGCCCGCGGCCUAUCAGCUUGUUGGUGAGGUAACGGCUCACCAAGGCGACGACGGGUAGCCGGCCUGAGAGGGCGACCGGCCACACUGGGACUGAGACACGGCCCAGACUCCUACGGGAGGCAGCAGUGGGGAAUAUUGCACAAUGGGCGAAAGCCUGAUGCAGCGACGCCGCGUGAGGGAUGACGGCCUUCGGGUUGUAAACCUCUUUCAGCAGGGAAGAAGCGAAAGUGACGGUACCUGCAGAAGAAGCGCCGGCUAACUACGUGCCAGCAGCCGCGGUAAUACGUAGGGCGCAAGCGUUGUCCGGAAUUAUUGGGCGUAAAGAGCUCGUAGGCGGUCUGUCACGUCGGAUGUG